ACCCAGAUGACGAGUCCCAAAUAAAACGAAACCCACGUCCUUGUGGAU
RNAcentral lists this non-coding RNA (48 nucleotides) under Trichobilharzia regenti. The record is from RNAcentral. Lineage: Eukaryota; Metazoa; Platyhelminthes; Trematoda; Strigeidida; Schistosomatidae.